GCAAGACUGGGAUAACAUUCGGAAACGAAUGCUAAUACCGGAUACGCAAUCCUCUCGCAUGAGGGAAUUGGGAAAGGCGGAGCAAUCUGCCACUUGUAGAUGGACCUGCGGCGCAUUAGCUAGUUGGUGGGGUAACGGCUCACCAAGGCGACGAUGCGUAGCCGACCUGAGAGGGUGAUCGGCCACACUGGGACUGAGACACGGCCCAGACUCCUACGGGAGGCAGCAGUAGGGAAUAUUGCACAAUGGGCGAAAGCCUGAUGCAGCGACGCCGCGUGAGGGAUGACGGCCUUCGGGUUGUAAACCUCUUUCAGCAGGGACGAAGCGCAAGUGACGGUACCUGCAGAAGAAGCACCGGCUAACUACGUGCCAGCAGCCGCGGUAAUACGUAGGGUGCAAGCGUUGUCCGGAAUUACUGGGCGUAAAGAGUUCGUAGGCGGUUUGUCGCGUCGUUUGUGAAAACCAGCAGCUCAACUGCUGGCUUGCAGGCGAUACGGGCAGACUUGAGUACUGCAGGGGAGACUGGAAUUCCUGGUGUAGCGGUGAAAUGCGCAGAUAUCAGGAGGAACACCGGUGGCGAAGGCGGGUCUCUGGGCAGUAACUGACGCUGAGGAGCGAAAGCGUGGGGAGCGAACAGGAUUAGAUACCCUGGUAGUCCACGCCGUAAACGGUGGGUACUAGGUGUGGGUUUCCUUCCUUGGGAUCCGUGCCGUAGCUAACGCAUUAAGUACCCCGCCUGGGGAGUAUGGCCGCAAGGCUAAAACU
RNAcentral lists this ribosomal RNA (765 nucleotides) under uncultured bacterium. Its description in RNAcentral is "bacterial SSU rRNA". It matches the Rfam family "Bacterial small subunit ribosomal RNA", at positions 132 to 901 of the family's 1533-position model. The record is from RNAcentral.